Molecule: ribosomal RNA, 139 nt
Filed under: uncultured eukaryote
Lineage: Eukaryota
Description: partial 18S ribosomal RNA
Rfam family: Eukaryotic small subunit ribosomal RNA
Source: RNAcentral
UGGUGGAGUGAGUUGCCUGGUUAAUUCCGUUAACGAACGAGACCCCGACCCGCUAAAUCAUCGCACGUAGCUGCGGCAGCGUGUCGAACUUCUUAGGGGACUUUGUGUGCAUAAUGCAAGGAAGUACGAGGCAAUAGCA